GUGGUGGGGGUAAUAUACCGGAGGAAGAUAAUGGACAUAGAAGGAUUUUAGCCAAGAGACGAUCCUAACUGCUACCAUCGCCGAAUCCUCUGCUCUCACCUAUCACUUAUAUGAUUCUAUUGUUAUGACACAGGCAUAAAACAAACUUCUUAUGACAUCA
Molecule: long non-coding RNA, 160 nt
Organism: Bufo gargarizans (Asiatic toad)
Lineage: Eukaryota; Metazoa; Chordata; Amphibia; Anura; Bufonidae
Exons: 2
Source: RefSeq, a predicted model, not a curated record